This 504-nucleotide ribosomal RNA is filed under the name uncultured bacterium. RNAcentral's name for it is "partial 16S ribosomal RNA". It matches the Rfam family "Bacterial small subunit ribosomal RNA", at positions 29 to 523 of the family's 1533-position model. The record is from RNAcentral.
AUUGAACGCUGGCGGCAGGCCUAACACAUGCAAGUCGAACGGUAGCACAGAGAGCUUGCUCUCGGGUGACGAGUGGCGGACGGGUGAGUAACGUCGGGGAAACUGCCCGAUGGAGGGGGAUGACUACUGGAAACGGUAGCUAAUACCGCAUAACGUCGACAGGCCAAAGUGGGGGGCAGUCGCGCCUCCCACCAUCGGAUGUGCCCAGAUGGGAUUAGCUAGUAGGUUGGGUAAUGGCUCACCUAGGCGACGAUCCAUAGCUGGUCUGAGAGGAUGACCAGCCACACUGGAACUGAGACACGGUCCAGACUCCUACGGGAGGCAGCAGUGGGGAAUAUUGCACAAUGGGCGCAAGCCUGAUGCAGCCAUGCCGCGUGUAUGAAGAAGGCCUUCGGGUUGUAAAGUACUUUCAGCGGGGAGGAAGGCGGUGAAGUUAAUAGCUUCACCGAUUGACGUUACCCGCAGAAGAAGCACCGGCUAACUCCGUGCCAGCCGCCGCAGUAA